UUCUGGUCAGUCCGUGGGUGCAAGGUGCAGAGUCCAAAUCCUGCGCCCGUCUGCGAGUGUUACGAAGCUACCAUGAGUUAUGUACGCCUCUCUAACGAAGCGUCCGCGUCUUCAACUCAGGCGGGGAAUGGGGUACUCGAGUUUCAGUUCAGGAAGGAAUGAAUCAUGGAGGCUGGAGGCGCAGCAUGUCGAUGGUGGUGGCCAGCCCGACCUGCAUCGUGGGUGGUGCCUUCGGAGCAGGCGGCAGGGAGGCUCUGACGGGCAUCCAGGAGAACGUGGCCACCAUACUAGCAAAGGAGUCCUCCGUUUUCAUCGGCGCCUUCUUCUCCAAAAGCAGCAGCUGUUACGUGUUCAAACUUGGCGUCCUUCGGAACCAAGACCUCUCUCUUUCUGAUUUCCGGAGUUUAUUCGACGACUCACCAUUGUCACCAUGAUUCUCUUUAAUACUUUUAGCUGAACCGCCGUAUUUAACUUGAUGUAUCGUUGUUCGGAAUAUUUAAUGGUACAUUAUAAUACGUCAUUUUUGCAGCAGAGAAUAACUUUCGGUACUUGCUUAGGCUUUCACUUUUCAUUCAAAAAAACAGUUUGAAGAUACCGUGAGCUAAGGCAUUUAUGAUAAAUCAACUCCAUUGACUUCCUUCGCGGAUGCCUAGGGAAGUUGAACUGGUUUGGUGGUGCACCGGGGAUGCAUUUACGUGAACCCACUUGGAUCUGUAGAAGACCUAAAGUGGUACUAAAAAACUCGGAAUUUCUUGUAUUUCCCGUUUGAUGCUUAGUUGCCUAUAAAUCCUAAAACCUUCAAAGAGGUUCUCUUUCUACAUGCAUCAGAUUUGUAAUGUACUAGAACGAUGGGAGCUGAUUGUAGACAAAAUACAUGAUUGAAGGCUCUUAUGUUUACUUAGGAUAAGGGUCUGACAAGGUUGAUGCUGGAAGCUUUUCUAUAAGCACUUUGGGACCUUCUCAAAGCUGGAGUUUCAGUCAACUAAAAGGGAGUCCGCGGUUGUUUUGUUAGUUGGAAGUGAAUUAUCUACAACCUUUUCACCUAUAGUGUUUGUCCUAUUCAAGAAAUCUCCCUUUCAAGUGGAUUGAAGGAAUUUGUUCACAUUCAAGUUAUUUGGUAAACUUAGGAUUAACCCUGAGGACAUCUCUUGCCAUUCUCCCUGCUGAAUUCAGGAUCUAUUGAAUAUUCUGCCUUAUUUUUUAUAGAAAUCCUUGAGAUUUGUCCUAGAAAUUCCCUUUCCAUGUGUACUGAAACUUAAUAGAAUAUCACAAAUAAUCUUCAUGGGGCCUAAUCCUAUGCACGUAGUGCUGAGCACCUCAGUAAAGAAAGCAUUUAUGCAGUAAAAAGAGAGAGAAUUCUUAUAGUUGGGGAUGGAUGAGGAACUGAAAUCAAGUUGCUGAACUACUUUCCUGACUCUGCCUUUUGAACAUUUUUGAACUUACCGACUCUAAAUGUUUUUGGUGAAUAUUGUAAGUAUAUGACUGUCUAUUUGUGUCAUUGUGAAUGCAUCUAUCAUGCAAUUUACUGGGUCUAUGGUGAUAGCCUGCUGGUGACUGAUAGUCCAUGAUGCUGGAUAUUAGUCCUACUCAUAACUGGAGUUCAUCAGAUUGGUUUUAUUUGAUCGAUGUUGUAUUUGGUAGACAUAAUAAUCUAGCUUUUUUUUUAUUUUUUUUGGCAAAAUUUAGGUAUGUCCAAUGAGGGUGCUCCUGCUAAAUUUGUUAACGUUUACAUUUGUUGGAACGAUACAGUAUGUGAUAUUUCAAAAAUAAGGUGAAACAUUCAUCGUGGGAUCACAGUAAGCAUGAGGGUUCAUUGUGCCCAUUUUUACUAAUACUUUUUCUGUAUGACAAAAGUUAGCCUACUUUUUCUCUUAAAUCUUGGAAAUGGGUAUUUUGUAGGUAUGCCUCCUGAGUGGUUAUUAUUACAAAAAAAAGAGUCUCAUGCAGCAUGUAAUGAAAUUGAUGGCAAAGCUAGUAACUUGAAAGAUUUUUGUUUCAAACAUCAAACAACAUAUGAACUAUAAAUGAUCAUUGCUGGUAAAUUUUGAGAUCAUGGUUCUGUAGCACAUCUUAAUUGAUUUCAUCUACUUCGACUGUCUACUUUGUGCAGAUAUGUUUAUGUCUGGCAUGCGGUGAUGGUAUACUGGGCUGGUGUCCUUCUGGCAUCACCAGAGAUGAUGAAAUACAUCCUGUUCUUCAAUAUCCAUUCCAAGGGAUGUAAGAUAGAUACUGGCAGAUAUUUUAAUUUAAAAAUGAUGUUUCUGGCUAUGUUGUAGCUCAAAAUCUAGACUAACUCAAGGUAGAUAUGCAGAAUGUAUUAAUAGGAACACUUGGAACUGGAUUUGGCAGCCAGAUUCCAGUGAAUCGCCAAUAUCAGCAUCCACUUGAAAAUUCUACUGCUAAUUAGAAGUUUCAGCGCCAAGUACUUGAUUUGCUGCAUGGGCCAUAGCAUGGAUUGCAUAUACAAUACCAUCAAGCUGUACUUUCUACAUGUAUCGCCACCCUGUUGAGGAAUUUCAUGCUUCUGCCCAUGCUGUAGGUGGUUGUGCAGUCUAUGUUAGGUAGGUUUGAUAUGUUUGCAAGUGAAUCUGCUGGGUUUCCCCCACUAUCUUCUUUGUUUCGUCCUUUUUAAAAGUAGUGUUUUGUUUACAGUGAUAAACCUGACACAAUUUCACAAUUGUGAAAAAGCCAGUGCCUCCUGAUGGAUCAGUGGUAAGAGCAAAAUGUGCUGGAAACCAUAAACGUGAUUGUUUGUUCAUCAACCCUGUUAUGGAUGAAAAUGGCCGUGCCUACCCUCUACCGAGGAAAGGCAAAGCGUAUCAGUACCCAUUACUUCCCUUGUUUCCUUGUGCGGCCUUUGAAGAUCUGGAAUAUGAAUAAGUUGUCUGGUAUCCUGGGCAUCUUCAAUAUCCAGGGGGCAGGCACUUUACCCUCUCUGGAUACAGUUCAAGAUGUCACAAGUCACAACUCCAAGUAUGUUACAGUUUACAGGCCAGAAGAGCCCCGAAGACAUUGAUCAUAUUAAACAGAUAGUGCAUGGGAAUUGGACAGGAGAUUGUGCAGUAUAUGCAUUUAAUGUAGUUGUCCAUUAAAGGAAGAGGCUGGGGCUGAUACGGAUCAUAUCUAAGAGUGAAAACAAGGAAAAGUUUGGGGUGAGCUUAUGUAAGAGUGAAAACAAGGAGAUGUCUGUGCCCGUCAAUGUGAUAGAUGAUAGUUUAUGUUUGAUGGCGGAGCUAGGUCAUUUGUCCCUCUGUGAAAGCUUGAUUUGUAUUUUUGAGGUACAAAUUUGGAUAGGACCUGCUACUUUUUCAGGCUUGAACUAUACAGCCCUUGUUGGAAACAUUCUUCACUCGCCUGCCUGCCAAUAUUUGGUAAAGCUGUCCUGCUUCAAGGCUAUAAUCUAUGUUUUUGUUAUAGCCCUCUCUCUCUCUCUGCUGCAGAUAUUAGAUUCAUUUUCCUGUUAGUCUAUUUUUUCUCAUGUACUACUCUGCUGCUUGAUGCUUUCUCAUAAUGUUGUCCUGGCAAGGCCCUUUCAUGGUGCUCUUUGUCAUGUCAUUGUCUUGUUAGA
Molecule: long non-coding RNA, 3568 nt
Organism: Nymphaea colorata (pocket water lily)
Lineage: Eukaryota; Viridiplantae; Streptophyta; Magnoliopsida; Nymphaeales; Nymphaeaceae
Exons: 3
Source: RefSeq, a predicted model, not a curated record